RNAcentral lists this ribosomal RNA (445 nucleotides) under uncultured bacterium. RNAcentral describes it as "partial 16S ribosomal RNA". It matches the Rfam family "Bacterial small subunit ribosomal RNA", at positions 354 to 796 of the family's 1533-position model. The record is from RNAcentral.
GUGAGGAAUAUUGGUCAAUGGGCGGGUGCCUGAACCAGCCAAGUCGCGUGAAGGAAGAAGGAUCUAUGGUUCGUAAACUUCUUUUGCAGGGGAAUAAAGUGCAGGACGUGUCCUGUUUUGUAUGUACCCUGAGAAUAAGGAUCGGCUAACUCCGUGCCAGCAGCCGCGGUAAUACGGAGGAUCCGAGCGUUAUCCGGAUUUAUUGGGUUUAAAGGGUGCGUAGGUGGUUUGAUAAGUCAGCGGUGAAAGUUUGCAGCUUAACUGUAAAAAUGCCGUUGAAACUGUCGGACUUGAGUGUAAAUGAGGUGGGCGGAAUGCGUGGUGUAGCGGUGAAAUGCAUAGAUAUCACGCAGAACUCCGAUUGCGAAGGCAGCUUACUAAGCUACAACUGACACUGAAGCACGAAAGCGUGGGGAUCAAACAGGAUUAGAAACCCUGGUAGUCC